Silurus meridionalis is the source of this 718-nucleotide long non-coding RNA. RefSeq lists it as uncharacterized. The record is from RefSeq and is a predicted model, not a curated record. The transcript is spliced from 3 exons. NCBI's taxonomy places the organism in Eukaryota, Metazoa, Chordata, Actinopteri, Siluriformes, Siluridae.
UGUGUGUGUGUGUGUGUGUGUGUGUGUGUGUGUGUGUUGUCAUUGUGGAAAGACAUUUUAAGCUCCCCAAAGGAAAUCCUGAGCCCUCCUUCUGCACAUCUUCUACUUGGAAACCUUAAAACAAAACAGAGGCAACUAACACACCGAUUCAAAGCUCCAGCAUGUAGACAGAGUCCGUGUGUGUGUGUGUUAGAGGUGUGUAUUAAAGGUGUGUGUUAGAGGUGUGUAUAAAAGGUGCAGACCAGAGAGAAGGAAAAGCAGUGUGAAAGCGCAGUGAAAUCCCGAUGAUGUUUCUUCCAUGAUAUUGUUAUUAUUAUUAUUAUCUAGAUCUCGGUGCUGUGCCUGAGAGCCGAGAGUUCCGUAAAUACUCGGAGCUCACAACACGUUCGGUGAGAUGAAGAUCGUCAGAUCAGACAAAAAAAUCCAAGUGUGUGUGUGUGUGUGUGAGGCUCGGAAGCAAGGCAAGAAAAAAAGAGCUGAAAGCAAUGUGAACUUUCCAGAAAAUCUCACAUCUGCAGCAGGGAUGAAGCCGAGCACACAGGUGCACCGCAGCCGGAUUCGGAUUCAGAUUCAGAGCAUCAGCUGCGCCACCACUGCACGUUCAUCUGUAACGGAAGCCACCGCCCUGCCUUCAUCUGUCUCGUCACAUGACCUCGCCAACGUCUGACAGAACCGAUUGAACACAAUAUGCACAAUAAACACAAUGUUACCGAUCCUA